UUAGCCUCUGCUCCUUCCUGAAAACCCUCUCCAAUGGCAGUAAAAAAGUAAAAAAGACAUCAAUAUACAAAGACAAAAUAGGAAAAGAGAAAACACUAAGAAAAAUUUGAAAGCUUAGAAAGUAAGAUGGAUAGCUUUACAGAGCAGAGAAAGCUAAAUCUUAAGCUAUCCAUGGAGAAAACCAAGAAAUAACCUGAUUUAUAUCUUGAAACUCCAAAUAGCACAGGAAUUGACAGCACCAGCAGCAGACUAGGUCUAGUCUCUAGAAAGAGUGUAAGAGAUCAACUUGGGACUGAUGGAAAUCAGGUGAAAAACAGGUGAAUUAAACAACAGCUUCCAUACUGAAUGGUAAAAAUCCCUGCUUUAGUCAUCACCUAGCUGCGAGAAUGCUGCCAGACAAGAUUUUUCUUUCCAGGCAGAAGAUAGGAAGCAACUUCUCAGAGAAUCUGAUUGGCUCAAGAAAAAAGCUUUAAAGAUAUUGUUGCUGGAAGUUCCUGAAGAAAAAGGCUCUGCCAGACUAUCAAAAAGUGAAAUCCAGUUGACAAGCUCCACUCAUGUUCAGGGUUACCAAUUAAUUUUUUUGUUCUUGGUUUUUAAAUAUUAGCACAUUGCCAAGGUCACCAGACAUUUGAGCAAGGCCUCUAGUAUGAAAGACAGAGGUCAGAGCAAACAAAAAAGCAACCUGCAACAGAGACUACUCAGGGGAAGUGUUCAAAAACCUAUCAUUAAUGUUUUCCUAGAAAUAAGAGAAAAUACCAUAAAAGGGACCAUAAAACAAAAAGAGGUUGAAGAAACAGAAACCAGAAAAGGGUUGGCAGGAAAUGCUGAGGAAGACUCAAAGAACAAAAGGACAAAGACAGAAAAUAGAAAAGAAAGAGAAAAAAAAAAGAGGAACAGUUCAAGAGGUUUAAUAUCUAAAUAGGAGUUUCAGAAACAGAAUUAAAAAAGAAAUUCAAAGAAAUAACCUGUUAAUGUUUUCCUGAGUUGAAGGACACGAAUUCCCAGAUUUAAAAACCCACUGAGUACCCAGCACAAUGAAUGAGUCAUCAAACAAGAUACAUCACUGUGAAAUUUCAGAAUACUGAGGAUAGAGAGAAGGCACCAAAAGAGAAGAUCCCAAAAGUUUCUAGAAAGAAAAUGGAAAGAUUCAAAAAUCAGAAUGGGACCAGGUUUUUUUU
This is a long non-coding RNA of Gorilla gorilla gorilla (western lowland gorilla), 1178 nucleotides long. RefSeq lists it as uncharacterized. The record is from RefSeq and is a predicted model, not a curated record. NCBI's taxonomy places the organism in Eukaryota, Metazoa, Chordata, Mammalia, Primates, Hominidae. The transcript has 2 exons.